RNAcentral lists this ribosomal RNA (200 nucleotides) under uncultured bacterium. RNAcentral's name for it is "partial 16S ribosomal RNA". It matches the Rfam family "Bacterial small subunit ribosomal RNA", at positions 8 to 215 of the family's 1533-position model. The record is from RNAcentral.
AGAGUUUGAUCCUGGCUCAGAUUGAACGCUAGCGGCAUGCUUAACACAUGCAAGUCGAACGAGAGUAGGGGGGCAACUCCUUACUCUAGUGGCGGACGGGUGAGUAAUACGUAAGAAUCUGCCUUAAAGUGGGGGAUAACUCGGGGAAACUCGAGCUAAUACCGCAUGUGCUCUACGGAGCAAAGCUGGGGACCUUCGGG